UACGUAGGGUGCGAGCGUUGUCCGGAAUUACUGGGCGUAAAGAGCUCGUAGGUGGUUUGUCGCGUUGUCCGUGAAAACUCACAACUCAAUUGUGGGCGUGCGGGCGAUACGGGCAGACUGGAGUACUGCAGGGGAGACUGGAAUUCCUGGUGUAGCGGCGGAAUGCGCAGAUAUCAGGAGGAACACCGGUGGCGAAGGCGGCACUCUGGGCCGGUACUGACGCUGAGGAGCGAAAGCGUGGGGAGCGAACAGG
RNAcentral lists this ribosomal RNA (253 nucleotides) under uncultured bacterium. Its description in RNAcentral is "partial 16S ribosomal RNA". It matches the Rfam family "Bacterial small subunit ribosomal RNA", at positions 524 to 776 of the family's 1533-position model. The record is from RNAcentral.